AAAAAAAAUCUCAGGUAGUUUUAAGAAAAAAUAAUCAGUGAAUCUAAGCCAUCAGCCCUUAAAUGAGUAGUAGAUACCUUUCUACAUACUUUACAGUAUACUUGCUAAAUCAAGGACUGCUGGAACCAUAAAGAACAGGUGAUCUGAAGAUUUUACAGCUAGAAACCGGAGCUAGAAAAUCCAGAGAAUUCAAGCUGUGUUGUUUUAAACAUGGUGGUAUCUUGAGCUACACUUAAAAGCUGAUUACAGUUAACUGAAUUCCCGGAUUGUAAUUUAUUUCAGAAGGUGUUUCUCCAGUAUCCAGUGUCUUCAACAAACGAAAAAGGCCAGCAGCUUCUCGUAUCCUACUGAACUCAAUACAGAAUGCCUGCACUUCUAUAAACAAGUCCUGCACAUUAAUAAUUUUGUUACGGAUCAAGGACUGGAGAAAGACACACACAAGACGCACCAAACGAUUCUGGGGGGGAAAAAAAAUAAGUUAGUGUACCCGUUUUCUUGGCAGAAUAAAAUGACCAAAGCUGGAAAAGCAGAACAAAGAUCCAGAGAGCCAAGACUCCUUGGAUCUAAAACACUUCCUACUGCUGGCUCCUGUUGACAGGAUCAUUUAUUGUUUAUCAUGUGGAAUAUUAAAGACAAAAUGUUUACAAUAAA
Long non-coding RNA from Mustela lutreola (European mink), 651 nucleotides. RefSeq lists it as uncharacterized. The record is from RefSeq and is a predicted model, not a curated record. NCBI's taxonomy places the organism in Eukaryota, Metazoa, Chordata, Mammalia, Carnivora, Mustelidae. The transcript has 4 exons.